Molecule: ribosomal RNA, 497 nt
Filed under: uncultured bacterium
Lineage: Bacteria
Description: partial 16S ribosomal RNA
Rfam family: Bacterial small subunit ribosomal RNA
Source: RNAcentral
GAUGAACGCUGGCGGCGUGCCUAAUACAUGCAAGUCGAGCGAACAGACGAGGAGCUUGCUCCUCUGACGUUAGCGGCGGACGGGUGAGUUACACGUGGAUAACCUACCUAUAAGACUGGGAUAACUUCGGGAAACCGGAGCUAAUACCGGAUAACAUGUUGAACCGCAUGGUUCAACAGUGAAAGACGGUCUUGCUGUCACUUAUAGAUGGAUCCGCGCCGCAUUAGCUAGUUGGUAAGGUAACGGCUUACCAAGGCAACGAUGCGUAGCCGACCUGAGAGGGUGAUCGGCCACACUGGAACUGAGACACGGUCCAGACUCCUACGGGAGGCAGCAGUAGGGAAUCUUCCGCAAUGGGCGAAAGCCUGACGGAGCAACGCCGCGUGAGUGAAGAAGGUCUUCGGAUCGUAAAACUCUGUUAUUAGGGAAGAACAAAUGUGUAAGUAACUAUGCACGUCUUGACGGUACCUAAUCAGAAAGCCACGGCUAACUACGUG